Molecule: ribosomal RNA, 253 nt
Filed under: uncultured bacterium
Lineage: Bacteria
Description: partial 16S ribosomal RNA
Rfam family: Bacterial small subunit ribosomal RNA
Source: RNAcentral
UACGUAGGGUGCAAGCGUUAAUCGGAAUUACUGGGCGUAAAGCGUGCGCAGGCGGUGAUGUAAGACAGAUGUGAAAUCCCCGGGCUCAUCCUGGGAACUGCAUUUGUGACUGCAUCGCUGGAGUGCGGCAGAGGGGGAUGGAAUUCCGCGUGUAGCAGUGAAAUGCGUAGAUAUGCGGAGGAACACCGAUGGCGAAGGCAAUCCCCUGGGCCUGCACUGACGCUCAUGCACGAAAGCGUGGGGAGCAAACAGG